Molecule: ribosomal RNA, 466 nt
Filed under: uncultured bacterium
Lineage: Bacteria
Description: partial 16S ribosomal RNA
Rfam family: Bacterial small subunit ribosomal RNA
Source: RNAcentral
GAUGAACGCUGGCGGCGUGCUUAACACGUGCAAGUCGAACGAUGAAGCCCAGCUUGCUGGGUGGAUUAGUGGCGAACGGGUGAGUAACACGUGAGUAACCUGCCCUUGACUCUGGGAUAAGCCUGGGAAACUGGGUCUAAUACUGGAUAUGACUUCUCAUCGCAUGGUGGGGGGUGGAAAGAUUUAUUGGUCUUGGAUGGACUCGCGGCCUAUCAGCUUGUUGGUGAGGUAAUGGCUCACCAAGGCGACGACGGGUAGCCGGCCUGAGGGGGUGACCGGCCACACUGGGACUGAGACACGGCCCAGACUCCUACGGGAGGCAGCAGUGGGGAAUAUUGCACAAUGGGCGCAAGCCUGAUGCAGCGACGCCGCGUGAGGGAUGACGGCCUUCGGGUUGUAAACCUCUUUCAGUAGGGAAGAAGCGAGAGUGACGGUACCUGCAGAAGAAGCGCCGGCUAACUACGUG